Brienomyrus brachyistius is the source of this 1276-nucleotide long non-coding RNA. RefSeq lists it as uncharacterized. The record is from RefSeq and is a predicted model, not a curated record. Lineage: Eukaryota; Metazoa; Chordata; Actinopteri; Osteoglossiformes; Mormyridae. The transcript has 3 exons.
UACCUACAGCUCUUAGGAUGCUGUUGUGGGGAAAUACAAGUAGCAGCUGGAAGGAGCAUGUAGAAGUGAGCUGGCAGAGUGACCUGAGACAGACCUGAGAUCAGGAUUUCAGCACGGUGUUGUCUUCACUGCUGUCUCUCGCACAAUCCCGCCUGCACUGCGCUGAGGAACACCCCUACUGCUGCUGGCAUGUCCCGCACUUCCCUGCUCCUCCUCCUGCGUGUUCACUGGCCGUGCCGGAGAAAAAAGGCUGCAGAAGCUGUAGCCGCCCAGAACCGGCAGGUUCCUCCAUCCCGCCGGAAACACUGCCAGCCGCCCAGAGCCGGCGGGUUCCUCCAAGGUUGCUGGUUUGAAUCUCUCCGUGAUGUCACCGUUGGGCCCCUGAGAAGGCCAUUAACCCCCAAGGACUGUCAGGAAACUGAUUUUUCAAAAAAAGUACAUUGCUUUGGAUGGAAGCGUCCUCUGAAUAACUGUAAAGUCGUUAAAGGGGUGUGGUACACAGGAAGAUCUGCAGUGAGAAUAGCUGCACUUACCUCAGAAUCACGUUCACACCACCGGCUCUUUAAUAUUCCCUUCCUCACCGCCGCCUUAUCUGGCCAGUGCAGCUGCUGCCAUUGUUCCAAGCAAUGGGCUUGUGUGCCAGUGUGGGAAUACCCCCCCCCACCCCCCUCCAAUCACAAACUACACAAUUUCACACAUGUAGGGACUUUGCCCCAAGAAGCGGUUUGUUUAAAUCAAAUACAAACCAGACAAAGUGCAUGAAUUCUGACAAAUGCCAUAAAAUGCAUGAAAACAGCAUUUGAUUGAAAGUUACCAGUGUGAUGAAUCAAUAUUCAUCCUUGAAGCCAAAAAUUUCAGAUAAAGCACAGACUGGUUCCACAUGGUAAAACAUAAUUUUAAGGGAAACUCUAAUGAACAAAGUAGAUUUAGGCAACAGAUCUAUUGGACAAUUAGCACAGACAGUGAAUAUGUUUCAGAUGUUAUAUACGUAGUUUACGUUUUACGGGAAUUGAAUACUAUUUUCCCUCAUAUACACGGACCUGAGAAAGAGUGUAUUCAGGGAGACUGACGCUCUGAUGUCUUUGUAAAGCCACAUCUACAAGUCAGAGCAGCCCUGGGCUGUGACCUCGCUAAACACGGUGCCCAGCCCAAACCGAACUGAUCGAAAACAUGCCUGUAUAACCCUUAAACAGGAUAUACAAAAUAUUACUUAGCUGGUUCUUUAUAGUCAUCUCGGAAAAUAUAUAGUAGUAGUAAUAAUAAUAAUAAUCAUCAU